GGAGAGAUGGCUCAGUGGUUAAGAGCACUGACUGCUCUUCCAGAGGUCCUGAGUUCAAAUCCCAGCAACUACA
RNAcentral lists this transfer RNA (73 nucleotides) under Mus musculus (house mouse). RNAcentral describes it as "tRNA-Ser". Lineage: Eukaryota; Metazoa; Chordata; Mammalia; Rodentia; Muridae. The record is from RNAcentral.